AUUGAACGCUGGCGGCAUGCUUUACACAUGCAAGUCGAACGGUAACAGGCCUUCGGGUGCUGACGAGUGGCGAACGGGUGAGUAAUGCAUCGGAACGUACCCAGAGGUGGGGGAUAACGCAGCGAAAGCUGUGCUAAUACCGCAUGUGAUCUGAGGAUGAAAGCGGGGGACCGAGCAGCAAUGUUUGGCCUCGCGCCUUUGGAGCGGCCGAUGUCGGAUUAGCUAGUUGGUGGGGUAAAGGCCUACCAAGGCGACGAUCCGUAGCUGGUCUGAGAGGACGACCAGCCACACUGGGACUGAGACACGGCCAAGACUCCUACGGGAGGCAGCAGUGGGGAAUUUUGGACAAUGGGCGCAAGCCUGAUCCAGCAAUGCCGCGUGCGGGAAGAAGGCCUUCGGGUUGUAAACCGCUUUUGGCAGGAACGAAACGGUGUCCGCUAAUACCGGGCGCUAAUGACGGUACCUGCAGAAUAAGCACCGGCUAACUACGUG
This 492-nucleotide ribosomal RNA is filed under the name uncultured bacterium. Its description in RNAcentral is "partial 16S ribosomal RNA". It matches the Rfam family "Bacterial small subunit ribosomal RNA", at positions 29 to 507 of the family's 1533-position model. The record is from RNAcentral.